RNAcentral lists this ribosomal RNA (238 nucleotides) under uncultured bacterium. RNAcentral's name for it is "partial 16S ribosomal RNA". It matches the Rfam family "Bacterial small subunit ribosomal RNA", at positions 28 to 262 of the family's 1533-position model. The record is from RNAcentral.
GACGAACGCUGGCGGCGUGCUUAACACAUGCAAGUCGAGCGGUAAGGCCCUUUCGGGGGUACGACGAGCGGCGAACGGGUGAGUAACACGUGGGUGACCUCGCCCUCCAGCUCUGGGAGUAAGCCUGGGAAACCGGGGUCUAAUACCGGAUAUGACUCCAUGACGCAUGUUGUGGGGUGGAAAGCCUUGUGCGGCUGAGGAUGGGCCCGCGGCCUAUCAGCUUGUUGGUGGGGGAUGG